RNAcentral lists this transfer RNA (71 nucleotides) under Loxodonta africana (African savanna elephant). It matches the Rfam family "tRNA". From Rfam's summary of the family: Transfer RNA (tRNA) molecules are approximately 80 nucleotides in length. Their secondary structure includes four short double-helical elements and three loops (D, anti-codon, and T loops). Further hydrogen bonds mediate the characteristic L-shaped molecular structure. tRNAs have two regions of fundamental functional importance: the anti-codon, which is responsible for specific mRNA codon recognition, and the 3' end, to which the tRNAs corresponding amino acid is attached (by aminoacyl-tRNA synthetases). tRNAs cope with the degeneracy of the genetic code in two manners: having more than one tRNA (with a specific anti-codon) for a particular amino acid; and 'wobble' base-pairing, i.e. permitting non-standard base-pairing at the 3rd anti-codon position. The record is from Rfam by way of RNAcentral. Lineage: Eukaryota; Metazoa; Chordata; Mammalia; Proboscidea; Elephantidae.
ACAGUGGUGGUUCAGGGGUAGAAUUUCCAUCUUCCACGCAGGAGAGCAGGGUUCGAUUCCCAGCCGAUGUA